Molecule: long non-coding RNA, 404 nt
Organism: Serinus canaria (Common canary)
Lineage: Eukaryota; Metazoa; Chordata; Aves; Passeriformes; Fringillidae
Exons: 3
Source: RefSeq, a predicted model, not a curated record
UUUUCAGCUGUCAGCUCCUGGAAUAUCCUUCAGGCUGGAAAACAGCUGAGGGUUAUUUCAAGCAACCCUGAAAGAUCAGGAGACUCGGAUGGAAGAAUCUCCAGAAAGUUAUCUGGCAACUCUACAUCAGACUUGAGGAGUGACCCUGGGGAGGCAGCAAGGCCUCAAAGCUUUAUUUGCCUAUGGGGAAGCUGGAGACACGGGAUGAGCAGAGGAAAGGUGAAUGAAUGAUUUUCUAUUGCCAAGAGACUGAAGUGCCCCAAAACAGGCAAGCUGGAAAUUUCCAAAGCAGGUAAUGGAAAGCAGUCAGACAUACAAAAUAUUUUUUUUAACUGAAAAUGUGAAGGACAACGUCAUUUAUAAUGUUGAUUAAAAUAUCUAUCUACUCUCUUGCAAGAAUCUCA